This 252-nucleotide ribosomal RNA is filed under the name uncultured bacterium. Its description in RNAcentral is "partial 16S ribosomal RNA". It matches the Rfam family "Bacterial small subunit ribosomal RNA", at positions 524 to 776 of the family's 1533-position model. The record is from RNAcentral.
UACGGAGGAUGCGAGCGUUAUCCGGAUUUAUUGGGUUUAAAGGGUGCGUAGGCGGGUUAUCAAGUCAGCGGUAAAAUCGUGGAGCUCAACUCCAUCCAGCCGUUGAAACUGAUGAUCCUGAGUGGGCGAGAAGUAUGCGGAAUGCGUGGUGUAGCGGUGAAAUGCAUAGAUAUCACGCAGAACUCCGAUUGCGAAGGCAGCAUACCGGCGCCCGACUGACGCUGAAGCACGAAAGCGUGGGUAUCGAACAGG